AUGUAUCAGAGAAGUCUCCUGCCUUCCUCCCUUGAAUUGAGCAGCACCAGAAUCCAGGGGCUCUUUCCUCUUCUCCUAGCAGCAUAUUUGAGAACUCUUGACCUUCGGCUCUCCAUGGCACACCCUGUUGCAAAUUUCACAUACCAGAGUAGACUCAUCAAGGAAAGCACUUUAGCCGGCGACAGGAGCCCACUGUUUGGGUUGCCACUCAGCACUUCUCCUCCAGCACUGGGAGCUGAGCAGCCGGGCUGGGGAUCCUGUUACCCCUGGUGCAGGAGAUGCCAUCUGCCAAAUGUCCCCGAGUGGUGUUUUAGCAAGUGGGCUAAAAAGAACAUCCUGUGCACGGUAGCUGAAGUCCAUCACAGCUGUCACAGGAACAUACGCAUGCAGCCUGGGCUGGAGGUGGAUGCUGGCUCGGGAGGGAAGCUGGGCAGGUGGCCAAUAAACCUCCCUUACUUGCUGAUGCUUCCUUUUGGGGAAAGGAGAUCCUGGCUUAGCAUGGCCUGA
RNAcentral lists this long non-coding RNA (507 nucleotides) under Anser brachyrhynchus (Pink-footed goose). Its description in RNAcentral is "lncRNA (ENSABRG00000022913.1)". Lineage: Eukaryota; Metazoa; Chordata; Aves; Anseriformes; Anatidae. The record is from RNAcentral.